AGGGAACGCUGGCGGUAGGCCUAACACAUGCAAGUCGAACGGCAGCACAGUAAGAGCUUGCUCUUACGGGUGGCGAGUGGCGGACGGGUGCGGAAUACAUCGGAAUCUACUUUUUCGUGGGGGCUAACGUAGGGAAACUUACGCUAAUACCGCAUACGACCUACGGGUGAAAGCAGGGGAUCUUCGGACCUUUCGCGAUUGAAUGAGCCGAUGUCGGAUUAGCUAGUUGGCUGGGUAAAGGCCCACCAAGGCGACGAUCCGUAGCUGGUCUGAGAGGAUGUUCAGCCACACUGGAACUGAGAAACGGUCGAGACUCCGACGGGAGGCAGCAGUGGGGAAUAUUGGACAAUGGGCGCAAGCCUGAUACAGCCAUACCGCGUGGGUGAAGAAGGCGUUCGGGUUGUAAAGCCCUUUUGUUGGGAAAGAAAAGCAGCAGGUUAAUACCCCGCUGUUAUGACGGUACCCAAAGAAUAAGCACCGGCUAACUCCGUG
This 492-nucleotide ribosomal RNA is filed under the name uncultured bacterium. RNAcentral describes it as "partial 16S ribosomal RNA". It matches the Rfam family "Bacterial small subunit ribosomal RNA", at positions 31 to 507 of the family's 1533-position model. The record is from RNAcentral.